GGUGAACGCUGGCGGUAGGCCUGACACAUGCAAGUCGAACGGCAGCACAGUAAGAGCUUGCUCUUACGGGUGGCGAGUGGCGGACGGGUGAGGAAUACAUCGGAAUCUACUUUUUCGUGGGGGAUAACGUAGGGAAACUUACGCUAAUACCGCAUACGACCUACGGGUGAAAGCAGGGGAUCUUCGGACCUUGCGCGAUUGAAUGAGCCGAUGUCGGAUUAGCUAGUUGGCGGGGUAAAGGCCCACCAAGGCGACGAUCCGUAGCUGGUCUGAGAGGAUGAUCAGCCACACUGGAACUGAGACACGGUCCAGACUCCUACGGGAGGCAGCAGUGGGGAAUAUUGGACAAUGGGCGCAAGCCUGAUCCAGCCAUACCGCGUGGGUGAAGAAGGCCUUCGGGUUGUAAAGCCCUUUUGUUGGGAAAGAAAAGCAGCAGGUUAAUACCCCGCUGUUCUGACGGUACCCAAAGAAUAAGCACCGGCUAACUUCGUG
Molecule: ribosomal RNA, 492 nt
Filed under: uncultured bacterium
Lineage: Bacteria
Description: partial 16S ribosomal RNA
Rfam family: Bacterial small subunit ribosomal RNA
Source: RNAcentral